UACGAAGGGGGCGAGCGUUGUUCGGAAUGACUGGGCGUAAAGGGCGCGUAGGCGGCGGCCCACGUCAGGCGUGAAAGCCCCGGGCUCAACCCGGGAAUGGCGCUUGACACGGGGUCGCUGGAGUUCGGGAGAGGUGAGUGGAAUUCCCAGUGUAGAGGUGAAAUUCGUAGAUAUUGGGAAGAACACCAGUGGCGAAGGCGGCUCACUGGACCGACACUGACGCUGAGGCGCGAAAGCGUGGGGAGCAAACAGG
RNAcentral lists this unclassified non-coding RNA (253 nucleotides) under Alphaproteobacteria bacterium. RNAcentral's name for it is "contains 16S-23S intergenic spacer region". It matches the Rfam family "Bacterial small subunit ribosomal RNA", at positions 524 to 776 of the family's 1533-position model. Lineage: Bacteria; Pseudomonadati; Pseudomonadota; Alphaproteobacteria. The record is from RNAcentral.